RNAcentral lists this ribosomal RNA (253 nucleotides) under uncultured bacterium. Its description in RNAcentral is "partial 16S ribosomal RNA". It matches the Rfam family "Bacterial small subunit ribosomal RNA", at positions 524 to 776 of the family's 1533-position model. The record is from RNAcentral.
UACGUAGGGUGCAAGCGUUGUCCGGAAUUAUUGGGCGUAAAGAGCUCGUAGGCGGUUUGUCGCGUCGAAUGUGAAAACCCGGGGCUCAACCCCGGGCCUGCAUUCGAUACGGGCAGACUAGAGUUCGGUAGGGGAGUCUGGAAUUCCUGGUGUAGCGGUGAAAUGCGCAGAUAUCAGGAGGAACACCGGUGGCGAAGGCGGGACUCUGGGACGGUACUGACGCUGAGACGCGAAAGCGUGGGGAGCGAACAGG